This 282-nucleotide unclassified non-coding RNA is filed under the name Hevea brasiliensis (rubber tree). Lineage: Eukaryota; Viridiplantae; Streptophyta; Magnoliopsida; Malpighiales; Euphorbiaceae. The record is from RNAcentral.
AGCUCAGUUUGGUUGUCCAUCUUUUAACAGAUUUAUUUUUUAAAUUACUCAUUGGUGGUUGAAGGGAUUUUUAUUAUAUUUUUCUGCUUCAAUAUCAGAUACUAGUGAUUGGUGUUAUUGCUUCUAUUAUGUUUGUGUCAUUUAAUGCGUCAGAUUAACUUUUUGAGGCAUGAAAUUUUCAUCAUGUAUUGUGCUGUGAAUGAACUUCGGAUAUAGUUUGCUGCGAAAGAUAAUUCUGUGCAUUUAAAACCGUUUUGCAGUCCUAAUAACAAGAUGAGCUAU